CGCAAGCGUUAUCCGGAGUUACUGGGCGUAAAGCGCGGGCAGGCGGUUCUGCCAGUCUGAUGUGAAAUCUCCUCGCUCAACGGGGAGCAGCCAUUGGAAACUACAGAACUGGAGUCUGACAGAGGUAGGCGGAAUUCCGGGUGGAGUGGUGAAAUGCGUAGAGAUCCGGAGGAACACCAGAGGCGAAGGCGGCCUACUGGGUCAGUACUGACGCUGAGCCGCGAAAGCCAGGGGAGCGAACGGG
This 244-nucleotide ribosomal RNA is filed under the name uncultured bacterium. RNAcentral's name for it is "partial 16S ribosomal RNA". It matches the Rfam family "Bacterial small subunit ribosomal RNA", at positions 533 to 776 of the family's 1533-position model. The record is from RNAcentral.